CCUCCAGACUCCUACGGGAGGCAGCAGUGAGGAAUAUUGGUCAAUGGACGAGAGUCUGAACCAGCCAAGUAGCGUGAAGGAUGACUGCCCUAUGGGUUGUAAACUUCUUUUAUAAAGGAAUAAAACGAGGCACGUGUGCCUUUUUGCAUGUACUUUAUGAAUAAGGAUCGGCUAACUCCGUGCCAGCAGCCGCGGUAAUACGGAGGAUCCGAGCGUUAUCCGGAUUUAUUGGGUUUAAAGGGUGCGCAGGCGGCCUGUUAAUCCAGGGGUAAAACCCGGGGGCUAACCCCCGGCGAGCCGUUGAAACUGGCUGUCUUGAGAUGUCGAGAGGUAUGCGGAAUGCGCAGUGUAGCGGUGAAAUGCUUAGAUAUUGCGCAGAACUCCGAUUGCGAAGGCAGCAUACCGGCGGCGAUCUGACGCUGAGGCACGAAAGCGUGGGUAUCGAACAGGAUUAGAUACCCCAGUACA
This 468-nucleotide ribosomal RNA is filed under the name uncultured bacterium. Its description in RNAcentral is "bacterial SSU rRNA". It matches the Rfam family "Bacterial small subunit ribosomal RNA", at positions 328 to 794 of the family's 1533-position model. The record is from RNAcentral.